This 274-nucleotide ribosomal RNA is filed under the name uncultured bacterium. Its description in RNAcentral is "partial 16S ribosomal RNA". It matches the Rfam family "Bacterial small subunit ribosomal RNA", at positions 523 to 796 of the family's 1533-position model. The record is from RNAcentral.
AUACGGAGGGUGCAAGCGUUGUUCGGAAUCACUGGGCGUAAAGGGCGCGCAGGCGGUUUGGUAAGUCAGAUGUGAAAGCCCACGGCUCAACCGUGGAAGUGCAUUUGAAACUGUCAGACUUGAGUACUAGAGGGGAAAGUGGAAUUCCCGGUGUAGAGGUGAAAUUCGUAGAUAUCGGGAGGAAUACCGGUGGCGAAGGCGACUUUCUGGCUAGAUACUGACGCUGAGGCGCGAAAGCGUGGGGAGCAAACAGAAUUAGAAACCCUAGUAGUCC